GAUGAACGCUGGCGGCGUGCCUAAUACAUGCAAGUCGAGCGAAUGGAUUAAGAGCUUGCUCUUAUGAAGUUAGCGGCGGACGGGUGAGUAACACGUGGGUAACCUGCCCAUAAGACUGGGAUAACUCCGGGAAACCGGGGCUAAUACCGGAUAACAUUUUGGACCGCAUGGUUCGCACUUGAAAGGCGGCUUCGGCUGUCACUUAUGGAUGGACCCGCGUCGCAUUAGCUAGUUGGUGAGGUAACGGCUCACCAAGGCAACGAUGCGUAGCCGACCUGAGAGGGUGAUCGGCCACACUGGGACUGAGACACGGCCCAGACUCCUACGGGAGGCAGCAGUAGGGAAUCUUCCGCAAUGGACGAAAGUCUGACGGAGCAACGCCGCGUGAGUGAUGAAGGCUUUCGGGUCGUAAAACUCUGUUGUUAGGGAAGAACAAGUGCUAGUUGAAUAAGCUGGCACCUUGACGGUACCUAACCAGAAAGCCACGGCUAACUACGUGCCAGCAGCCGCGGUAA
RNAcentral lists this ribosomal RNA (515 nucleotides) under uncultured bacterium. RNAcentral's name for it is "partial 16S ribosomal RNA". It matches the Rfam family "Bacterial small subunit ribosomal RNA", at positions 28 to 523 of the family's 1533-position model. The record is from RNAcentral.